AAUGGAGAACAAUUUACAUAAUUGCCAUUGCAGUCUUGGGUGGAAUUGCUGCAUUGCUGGAAUUAAUCACUUGGAUUGUAGUUUUGAGGAGGAAGUCUAGUAAAUCCACUAAGCCCUAUGAAGGAUACGGUGGACAAAGCAGACCAUGAUCAACGGAUUGUUGCUGUUGUCCAUAGCAGACCAUGAUUUUGUAAUACCCUUCAUCGAACCUCACUUGCCGGAGAGGUUCUAGUGUGAUACACAUCUCUUCUUAGCUCCUUAAUCUUUGUAUAAUGGUCUGGCUUCAUCACUCGUCAUUGUCUAGCAUAUUAGUACAGGUCGCCUUGGUUCCAUUUUUCUCCCUCAU
Molecule: long non-coding RNA, 346 nt
Filed under: Populus trichocarpa (black cottonwood)
Lineage: Eukaryota; Viridiplantae; Streptophyta; Magnoliopsida; Malpighiales; Salicaceae
Description: long non-coding RNA (PTRI_LNC000783)
Source: RNAcentral